Long non-coding RNA from Macaca fascicularis (crab-eating macaque), 2146 nucleotides. NCBI's taxonomy places the organism in Eukaryota, Metazoa, Chordata, Mammalia, Primates, Cercopithecidae. The record is from Ensembl.
GGCCUAAGGAAAAAAAAAUUUUUUUGAAGACAGGGUCUUGCUUGCUGUAUUACCCCGGUUGGAGUGCAGUGGCAUGAUCACGGCUCACUGCAGCCUCAACCUCCUGGGCUCAAGUGAUCCUCCCACCUCAGUCUCCAGAGUAGCUGAGACCACUGGCAUGUGCCACCACCCCUGGCUAAUUUUUAAAUGUUUUGUAGAGACAGGGCCUUGCUGUGUUACCAAAGAUGGUCUAGAACUCCUGGACUCAAGCAAUCCUCCUGCCUUGGCCCCCAUAGUACUGGGAUUACAGGCGUGAGCCCCCACACCCAGUUUCUAGAUCUAAUUUAGGUCUUGUAUUUUCUCAGGGUUCCUCUGACAUCACUCUAGGGAAGGAGGAAGGAUGGGCAGCUUGUUACAGCCAGGCAGGGGUGGAGGAAGUUUGGGUUCUGCGCUAUACCUCCUGGAGGGUGAGCGUCUCCUUUUUAUUACUAGACAUGUGGGAGUUCCAGCUCCCACUAGGCCUCCUCUGACACCACCCCAGGAAGGACGGGGAGAUGAGGCUUAAUCCACGGUGAGGGAGGAAGUUCAGGUUCUCUACCCAGUCUUUCCUGGUGGGCUUGCAGGUGGAGCCACUGUGUUUUUUGUGGUGUUUUGUUAGAAUUGAGUGGUUAUUGUCUAGAAGGUUUUGGGCCAGGCGCAGUGGCUCAUGCCUGUAACCUCAGCACUUUGGGAGGCCGAGGCAAACAUAAGGCUGGUCUCGAACUUCUGACCUCAGAUGUUCUGCCUGCUUUGGCCUCCCAAAAUGCUUGGAUUACAGAUGUGAGGCACCACACCUGGCCUCUUCUUGGUUUUCGUUUUGCUUUGUCCAUACUAUUGGCAUUUUUAGGUUGCUGCUUCUCUGGUUCCCAGUCAGAGGGAAACGAGGCAGAAAGAAGCCCAUUGCCUUGUUGUUUCUUGGGUCCGGAGAUCACGGCCCCAUUGGCCUUCCUCUCUCUGCCUUUUGGAGAGGUUUUCAGCAGUACUCAGCGGGACAAAUACGGAAAGCAUGACAUCUCAAUCUUCCCAGAAGAGAUCUCCAUUUUGAAAUUCAUCUUUGGAUCAAUUUCAAAAGACAUCCCGUUGCAUUUAUGAGACCGGUACAAACCACUCAAGAGGAAGAUGGAUGUAGCUGCCGAUUUCCAGAAGAAGAAGAAGGAGGAUGUGAACUGUGAAAUGGAAGUCGAUAGGGCUGUUGGGACUUCCUUGAAAAGAAGCAAGGAGAUAUGAGUCAUCUCACUAUCACAGCUUUCAAAAUCAAGAACACCAUCCUACAAAUACCCAGGAUUCCCCCAACACAUGUUCUUUCCUCAGUGCCAAUGAGUUGGCCUUUAAAAACACACCACUUCCUUUUUUUUUUUUUUUUUGGACAGGGUCUCACUCUGUCACCCAGGCCGGAGUGCAGUGGCACCAUCACGGCUCUCUGCAGCCUUUACCUGCAGGAGCUCACGUGAUCCUCCUGCCUCAGUCUCCUGAGUAGCUGGAACUAUAAGGAAGAACCAUCACACCUGACUAACUGUUCUGUUUUUUGUUUUGGUAGAGAAGGCAUUUCGUCAUGUUGUCCAGGCUGGUUUCAUACUCCUAGGCUCACUUUGGCCUCCCAAAGUGCUCGGAUUACAGACAUGAGCCGCCAUGCCUGGGCAAAAUAAUGCACCACUUUUAACAGAACAGACAGAUGGGGCUAGAGCUGGUGAUAAAAAAGCAUUUUCUAGAUACCACUUAACAGGCUUGAACUAGUUUUUUUGAAAUCCAAAGAAAAUCAUGGUUUAAAUUCAAUUAUGUAGGCCAGUGGUCCAACUACAAUGAUAGUCAAAAUCAGUGCAGGUUUGUGUUUUGGUGCUAAUAUGACAUAUGACAGUAAGCCACAAGGUGCAGUAAGUGCCCCAACUAAACUUCCCAUUGGUUCUGUCAUGUAACAUGACAUGCUCCACCGUCAGGGGAGUAUGAGGAGACUGCCUGUCUCUGCGGUCAAGAGCAAAAAACCUCAGGUCUGGAGGAAGUUUUGGAAAGAGUUCAAGUGUCUGCAUAUCCUGUACACCUUCUGCCUUUGUCCUGCUCCCUUUCAAGCCAGGUUAUAUUCUAAAAAUUCUUAACAUAAUAUUUUAUACAAAAGCCAAUAAAUGAACCACAC